UGUCUCUGAAUAAUCCAUUCCAUAAGUUUGAGCAUAACCUUUUGCAACUAGACGAGCUUUUAAACGAGCGAGAGAGCCAUCUAGAUUAACCUUAAUCGUGAAUACCCAUUUGCACCCAAUUACCUUUUUGUUGGCAGGUAAAUUUACAAGAGUCCACGUACUAUUCUGAUCAAGAGCUUUCAUUUCCUCAACCAUAGCAUUACGCCAUCCAGAGUAGGCCAAAGCUUCACCUACUGUCUUAGGAAUAGAAAUUGAAUCGACAGUAGCAACAAAUGAACGAGAAGCUGUACAUGUAUGCUUACCUUUUCGGAUAGCAAUGGGAAGGUUAUCGUCAAGAGAUUCAGUGGAUGAAUCUGUCGCCGAAUCGGACGGUUCAGGAACAGGAUCUGAGCGAUGUCGCCGUUGAUAUACUUGAAUAACAGGAGGUCUAUCGGGUACGGGAGGUUGUUGAAGAUCAACUUGAGGUUCCUGAGAGGCAAUAGGUUGUUUAGAUGUAGAGGCUUGCUCAGGUGCUGGUGAAUCGGAAGUAGUGGGUGGUUGUGUCUGUGGGGUUAUAGAAUGGGGAUAGAUGAGGAACUCAUCAUCUUCCCUUAAUGGAUGAGGAUCUGAUACAGGGAAGAAAGGAACAUCUUCAUGGAAUGUGACAUCUCGAGAGACAAAGUAUCGCUGAAGAGUAUGGGAGAAACAUCGAUAACCCUUUUGGACACGACAAUAGCCAACAAAGACACAUUUAACCGAUUUUGGAUCUAACUUGGUAGGAUGAGAAUGUGUAUCAUGGAUGAAACAGGUACUUCCAAAUAUUUUAGGGGGGAUUGGAUAUAAAGGUUUUUCAGGACACAGAACCAAAAAUGGGAUAUCUCCAUUUAGAACAAUCGAGGGCAUCCGAUUAAUAAGAAAGCAAGCUGUGGAUACCUCAUCAGCCCAAAAUGGUUUUGGAACUGUCAUUUGAAACAAAAGUGCUCUUGCUACUUCAAGAAGAUGCCUGUUCUUACGUUCAGCAACUCCAUUUUGGGCUGGGGUAUGAAUACAUGAUGACUCGUGAACUAUGCCAUUUUGCAAACAGUAAGAUCGAAAGGAUUCUGAAAAAUAUUCUUUUGCAUUGUCACUUCUCAAGGUUCGAAUAGAGACAUUAAAAUGAGUUUUUACUUCAGCAUUUAAGGAGCAAAAAUGAGAAAACACUUCAGAACGAUUUUUCAUAAAAUAAAGCCAAGUUACACGGGAAUAGUCAUCAAUAAACGUAACAAAGUACUUAAAACCAAGUUUAGACGGAACAGGACACGGACCCCAAACAUCAGAAUGGACCAACUCAAACGGAGACGUAGCCCUCUUAUUGACUCUAGGACUUAGGUAAACACGUUGGUGUUUAGCAAGCUGACAUGACUCACACUGCAAAGAUGACAAAUGAGAAAAUUCAUGACACAACUUCUUGAGACUUUGGAGGGAUGGAUGACCUAAUCGACAAUGUGCUUCAAACGGUGACGAAUUUGAGCAGGCUAAAGAGUAAGGUGUCUGAGUUUCAAGUAUAUAUAGGCCAUCAGAUUCCCGUCCUUUACCAAUAAUCCUCUUCGUUGACAGAUCCUGAAAAACACAAGAAUCGGGAAGAAAUAAGGCACUACAAUUCAAACCACGAGUAAGUUUACUAUCAGAUAGUAAAUUAAACGGAAAAUUGGGAAGGUUCAAAAUGGAGGAUAAAUGGAUUGACGGGGUAAUGCUUGCAUUACCAGAACCAAACACUUUUGGAGUUGACCCAUCAGCAAUAGUCACAUAAGGUGACGGCGCAUGUUUUUGAAAAUCAAAAAGGAGCUGAGGAUCACUAGUCAUGUGUUCGGAUGCUCCAGAAUCAAUAACCCAUU
RNAcentral lists this long non-coding RNA (1853 nucleotides) under Helianthus annuus (common sunflower). Lineage: Eukaryota; Viridiplantae; Streptophyta; Magnoliopsida; Asterales; Asteraceae. The record is from RNAcentral.